Molecule: ribosomal RNA, 869 nt
Filed under: uncultured bacterium
Lineage: Bacteria
Description: bacterial SSU rRNA
Rfam family: Bacterial small subunit ribosomal RNA
Source: RNAcentral
AGAGUUUGAUCCUGGCUCAGAUUGAACGCUGGCGGAAUGCUUUACACAUGCAAGUCGAACGAUGAAGUCUAGCUUGCUAGACGGAUUAGUGGCGAACGGGUGAGUAAUAUAUCGGAACGCAUCCAUUAAUGGGGGAUAACUAGUCGAAAGAUUGGCUAAUACCGCAUACGUCCUACGGGAGAAAGCUAGGGACCUUCGGGCCUGGCGUUAAUGGAGCGGCCGAUAUCUGAUUAGCUAGUUGGUGAGGUAAAGGCUCACCAAGGCGACGAUCAGUAGCUGGUCUGAGAGGACGACCAGCCACACUGGAACUGAGACACGGUCCAGACUCCUACGGGAGGCAGCAGUGAGGAAUUUUGGACAAUGGGCGCAAGCCUGAUCCAGCCAUUCCGCGUGAGUGAAGAAGGCCUUCGGGUUGUAAAGCUCUUUCGCAAGGGAAGAAAACUUACCCUCUAACAUAGGGUGAGGAUGACGGUACCUUGAUAAGAAGCACCGGCUAACUACGUGCCAGCAGCCGCGGUAAUACGUAGGGUGCGAGCGUUAAUCGGAAUUACUGGGCGUAAAGCGUGCGCAGGCGGUGACUUAAGUCUGAUGUGAAAUCCCCGGGCUCAACCUGGGAACUGCGUUGGAAACUGGGUCACUAGAGUAUGUCAGAGGGGGGUAGAAUUCCACGUGUAGCAGUGAAAUGCGUAGAGAUGUGGAGGAAUACCGAUGGCGAAAGCAGCCCCCUGGGAUAAUACUGACGCUCAUGCACGAAAGCGUGGGGAGCAAACAGGAUUAGAUACCCUGGUAGUCCACGCCCUAAACGAUGUCAACUAGUUGUUGGUAGAGUAAAAUCCAUGAGUAACGCAGCUAACGCGUGAAGUAGACCG